RNAcentral lists this ribosomal RNA (225 nucleotides) under uncultured bacterium. RNAcentral describes it as "partial 16S ribosomal RNA". It matches the Rfam family "Bacterial small subunit ribosomal RNA", at positions 111 to 334 of the family's 1533-position model. The record is from RNAcentral.
UAACGCGUGAGGAGCCUGCCUCAAAGAGGGGGACAACAGUUGGAAACGACUGCUAAUACCGCAUAAGCCCACAGCUCGGCAUCGAGUAGAGGGAAAAGGAGUGAUCCGCUUUGAGAUGGCCUCGCGUCCGAUUAGCUAGUUGGUGAGGUAAUGGCCCACCAAGGCGACGAUCGGUAGCCGGACUGAGAGGUUGAACGGCCACAUUGGGACUGAGACACGGCCCAG